RNAcentral lists this small RNA (975 nucleotides) under Pan troglodytes (chimpanzee). RNAcentral describes it as "retained intron". Lineage: Eukaryota; Metazoa; Chordata; Mammalia; Primates; Hominidae. The record is from RNAcentral.
AGUUUGAAACUGUCAGGUUGCUGUCUAGGUAGCGGUUGUGCUUGCUGAGGCUGCACUUGCUGACACUGCAGCUGCGACGCGGCUAAGAGGCGCAGAGCGAGGAGUCGGGAUUUGGUCGCGAGCGGCGACGUGCAUUUGUGCAGAAUGUCAUCAGAUGAGGAGAAAUACUCACUUCCAGUUGUGCAAAAUGACUCCAGUCGAGGCAGUUCUGUCUCUUCGAAUCUUCAGAAAAUAUUGAUGAACUCUUCAUACACUCUGUACAAAGGCUUCAACCAACACAGUAAGAGGAAGAAUAUGAAGAACUGCUUCGUUAUGCUAUAGUGACUCCAAAUAUUGAACCCGGUGCUUCACAGUCAUCUCAUCCUAAGGGAGAAUUGGUGCCAGAUGUCAGAAUUUCUACAAUUCAUGAUAUUCUUCAUAGUCAAGGAAAUAACUCUGAAGUAAGAGAAACUGCAAUAGAAGUUGGAAAAGGAUGUGAUUUCCAUAUUUCAAGUCAUUCAAAGACAGAUGGUAUGAUUUUUCUUUAGCUUAUUUGUAUUAAUAUACAACAUUUUGUGGUUUGAUGAAUAUUAUCUAUGUAGUAAGAGGAAUAAUUUCAGCAUAUUACUUAUUAGCAGGAUUUUAAAAUGCUAUUAUUGCUAAUUUAAGUGAUAAUAUUUAAAAUAAUUUGAUAAGAUACCAAAAUAGUACAAUUAAGACAGGUCAAUGCAUUAUAGUGUGUAGUAUCCUUUCUUAAAAUUGCUAAGUUAGAGGGCAAAUCUUUUAAAAGAUUUAAUGGGAUAUUAGAUAGUUUGGCCAAUUCAAGUUUUUAUGUAAACCAAUGCACUGAUUCCCAACUUUCAGGCAUUUGCGUACCAGUGUAAGGAUUUUCAUCCUAUCUUUAUGCCACCUGUUACGCCAUCAUUUAGUGUUUUUCUUUAAAAGUCUGCUUUGUCUUUGUUAAAAGGGAAGAUUAGCAAAUCUUAAAGAGGCUUU